UCAGCACAGAGCCUGACGCAGGGCUGGAAUUUACGAACCGCGAGAUCAUGACCUGAGCCAAGUCUGAUGCUUAACCGACCUAGCCGCCCAGGUGCCCCCAUUUUUUUAAAGGAGGAAACCUACCUGGCCCAUGCUCCCAUCCUACAAGGGUGGCAGGUGGGCAUGGAAACCAGGACUGUCCAAUCUUGACGCCCGUGUUUCCAAUAUAUCAUCUUCCUUCAAAAGAAGAAACAUGAAUAAGGAGUGAUUCUGGCCUCUAUUGAUGGAAAGGUGCUUAAUCCAGUCCCUGGGCAGAUGAAUCACAUGCUCCAGCAUGCCUUUUGGUUGCAGUGUGGAACACAAGCUCUACUAUUUGCAGUGUGGCAGGUGUUAAAGGAAGUUCCCUUUCCCUGUCUCCCUCCCUCCCAGUUAAUUCUUCUCACUGCAGUUGGUUAUCCUGUUCAAGCAAAAUGCAGCUUUAUUACUGCUCUGCUGAGAGCCAUCUGGGGGCUUCCUAUGGGAGUAGAAGCUAAACUUGUAGGGGAUGUACUUGUCUACCUUCUCUGUCCCUGCCUCCCUCCCCUCCAUUCCCUGACACUGUCACCUUUUACUCUUCUCUUUCUCCACUCUGCUCCUCGUUCCCUCCCGCUUACUGUUCCUCGAACCCAUCAGUGCUUCCUUUCCAUUUUCAGGACUUCGCCUUUGAGGUAUGUCCAUCCCAGACUGCUCCCCCAGCAGAACCAGCCUGGUGCGUUCCCUGUUCACUUACGGGCUUGGUGUUUGUCUCCAUCUACUAGAAGCUCCGUGAGAGGUUUUAUCUGGUUUUGUGUAUUGUAGACCCCAUGUGCCGGAAUGGGACCCAACACGAUGGCUUAGUAAAUACUGUUGGCCAGAUGAUUGAGUGAGUGAUUCGUCCACAGACCACGGCCCUGGCUGUGGACCCCGAGGGAGUUUGACAGGAACACAGCAUUGCUUACUUGGCAGACCUCCUAAAUUUAGAUGCCUCUGUCAGCAGCAUGAUGGCCGACCAAGAAGAGAAAACUAAGUCAGACUAACCAGCCACAAAGAACACGGGUAGAACAGAAUCUUAUAUGUUCCAAGGACUUGGCUAACGAUUUCAUCAGUAAGGCUCUUCAUAACAGUUAUGCAGGUAAUUGACCUGAGGUUCGACAACUUCCUGGCGGUGCCCUGCUUAGAUACCUGACCACUUGUUGUUUUUCUAUUUGCAUUAAGGCAGUGACCAAGAUGAUUUUUGAGGGGAGGGAGAUAUUCCUUGGAGGACAGGAUAAAAGGUUAGUCUUUACUAUUUUUGGUAUCCCCCCCCACUGCUGAGCACAGUGACCCAUGUGUUGCGGAUCCCAGUCAAGCCUGCUGUCGCCGACAUUAAGUUCAGACUGUGACUUCCCAGGGAAGAAUCUCCCUGACUAAGAGAGUGGGUCAGGGUGAAAGGUCCCUUGAGUCACCAAACUCUUCUGUUGAUGAUAGCAAAGCCAAGACCAGACGUGCCAGUGAUGCUGAUUUUACGUGCAUCGGUCACUAACACAUUUGCUGGGUUUCCAUAAAAUGCGAGAAAGUGAUCACAGACCGACUGCUCAUAAAUCCGCCAAACCCCCUACAGGCAGAGGGCCUUGAGAGAAAGAAGCUAAGGGCACAGCUGCCAACUGAGGAGUGAGGCAAAUAGCUCUUUGAAGAGGCCCAAGGCCACACCAUUCUCCCAGGGUCUCCUGGAGAAGUGAGGGGUGAGGCUGGCUGGCUGUGUGAGGAGACGUCUCCCAGCAGGCUGAGAACGGAAGGGUUGUGGACAUGCCCGAGGCUACCCACAGAGGAAUUUGGAAGGGAAUAAAUAGUCACACCUGCACAUUCCCUUAGAAGAUUUUUCACAGCUUGAACCGGCUACUAAAAGGUAGGCACCCCCCUUUUAAAGAACGUUUAAAAAAAACAAGGAUGCAGUUGCUUUCGGUGAGAGUGUGCUUGCUGUUGAUGUUCAGCUCUCUAUAAAUGUAUAUUAAGUAAAUGUUACUACCAUAUGUGAGUAUGGUAGUGAGUAUGUGAGUAUUCUAUUAGCUGUUAAGUUAAAUUAGCUGUUAAGUUAAAACCAAAAUGCCUGUCCCUAUGUAGAAGGUGUGGAAAGAAACACAGUUUCUUUGGUAUUUGGUCCUUCAGUAUGGCAGAGUGCAGAGUUGAAGUAUUUGAAGAGUUCAGGCAUUGAUAUAUUAUGCAGGUACCAGUUGGAGACCCACAUACGUCUUUUCUUUAUGACGCUUCUCCAAAAAACGUUUCUCUUGUUAACGCUUAGAUUUGGUUUUGGGUUUUGGUGUUUUAGACCAAACACUGGAUUUAGGUAAAGGAUUCAUUAAUGAGAAUGCAUUUUUCACUACUGCCCAAUGAAUAUUUGAUGGCAUUUUUGUUGCCUUGAAAUGGUAAGAUGCUGUAAAUACCUCUGAACAAGCUUUUCAAGAAGUUCAUAUUCUCAGAAAAGCUGAUGUUCGCCUAACCAUGAUAAGGCAGGGCUGUAGUCUCCCUCCUCCUCUUGGGUAUAUCGGUCUCUUAUAUUCAGCCAACUCCAUGAAAAGGUGUAGAAUUUCCCAUGAGGUUUCAGGAGCCCAUAAUGUUAUUACCAUAAUUGAUCGGUCUUUAACCUACCCACUUCUUAAAUAAGAAGAUUCACUUUUUAUUUUUUCUUUUUGCCAACACCUGCAGUCAGAUGGUUCCCUGUUUUGUUUUGUUUUGUUUUUUUUUAAUAGUGUGUGUCAGAAGUGGCUCCUUAUAAAGACUAGGAUCAUUUCCUUUUCAUAAAGCUUUCUGAGAAUAGUGAUACUGCUUUGCUAAAAAUGUCUCUUCUGCAGAAGAAACUUUCCCUAAGCACGCAAACACGAUGAGUGUGUGUGAAAUGUGGCCAGUAACGGUAGCCAUACUUGGCAAAGGCGAGUGACAGGAGUGAACAGCAGGUUUGUGCGUUGUCGGCCUGGGAGGGUUUAGAUGUGGCCCAGCCUCCAGGUGGGAACCUGAACCGCAUCCCAAGAGACGUGCCUACCUCAGGAGGCUAAACACAGAAACACUCUCCUCAAACCUAGCGAGUCAGUUAAUUAACUGGAUUUAUAAUUCCAUAAUUGAGACUCACUCUUAUGGAUGGUUAGGCAGUUAACUAGCCGUAUGGAAGUGAUGUGGAAUUCUAAUCAAGGUGGAAUUGAAUAGCAGGGUAGAAACUCGGCAGGUCCGUGGCUUCUGUGCUGUGGGAAAAAGGGAUCUGGACCAAGGAUGAAUACCUGGUUAAUAAGGUCUUGAGAAGUGCCUGAUAGCUUUUUCUUUAAGACUAGGGAUGCAAGAUAGAACUAUGAAAUACGAGAAAAAUGAGAUUUAAAUUGAGAUUGGCAAAAGGGGUGAGUAGCUUAUUUUUAUUUAAAAAAAUGUUUAUUUCUUUAUUUUGAGAGAGAUGGAGAGAGUGCAAGUGGGAGAGGAGCAGACAGAGAGGGAGAGAGAGAAUCCCAAGCAGCCUCCAUGCUCAGCAUGGAGCCCGAUGUGGGGCUUGAUCCCAUGACCCUGAGAUCAUGACCUGAGCUGAAAUCAAGAGUCAGAUACUUACCCGGGUGAGCCACCCAGGCACCCGGGGAUAACACCACAUCAGCCCACUGGACUUUUACUUGGUCUCUAAAACAGAACAUAUAAGCUGGGAGUGCAUGACCAGCUAUGAACUGACUUGGGUCACGGUAAAUGUGAUUUUUGUCCCUCUACAUUUACACCUGCCUCAGUCUGCUUUGGGGUCCUGUAGCUGUCUCUGCCCCCUGCCAUCAAGGCUCCCUGGCUGUGCUGUUUGGCAGGAUUGGAUUUUGUCAGUUGCCUCCCACAAAGGAAAUGCUCAGGAGGCAUAUGUUGCAGUGCCUUUCCGAAAUAGUUGAAGAUGUCACCUUCAUAAACAAAAGGACUGGAUUUAUUUUCUUUCUCCCUUCCCUUCUUUUGAUGAUCAAAAGACAGAACAUUUUAAGUACUCCCCAGUUCCCCCCCCACCCCCAUCUUGACUGAUUGGAAGAAAUACUGUUACAUGGCAGAAUAUUGGCAGUGAGUAGAAAUACAAAGCAGGUUUAACAUUAACCUUAUGGAGGAACAGUGCAAGACCAGUGGAAUGAUGAAAGAAAAGGCUUACUAAUAAUAUUACAUACUAGUAUAAUUAAAUAAAUAUGGAAAAUUUCGUGCAUUUAGAUGGUGGUCUAGAUCCUAACACUUAACCACUCACUUUCAAACAGAAGCUAUUUUUGUAAGCACGUAGGAGUCUAGUAAUAUUUUUUGGCUAGAAAUCAUUUAAAGUUUACAUCACUGUAUAGCAUGGAUUAAGCAGGUGCAAGGAAAUUGAAGAAGAGAAUGUUUAGAUUUCAGAAAGUGAAUUCCAUGUAACUGUGAGAGGUGGAGCUUGGAUUAGUGCCACAGUUUUGUGGAAGACGCUUUAGUGACACUGUGUUUCUGUGCCUGAUUCUUAUACACACACACACACACAGGUACAACAUGUGGGAGUAUUCAUUGUCCAGAAUUCUAGAAUUCAUAAUUUUGCAACCAGAUAUGAAUUCUAGAAUUCAUAAUUUUGCAACAGUGAUUCAUGCAAAAUCUUUUUCUUUUUUUAAACCAUAUAUUUGAAUAAAUUGUGAAUUAUGGAUUUUUUUUCUUUUU
Long non-coding RNA from Felis catus (domestic cat), 4638 nucleotides. RefSeq lists it as uncharacterized. Lineage: Eukaryota; Metazoa; Chordata; Mammalia; Carnivora; Felidae. The record is from RefSeq and is a predicted model, not a curated record. The transcript is spliced from 3 exons.